AGAUUGAACGCUGGCGGCAUGCCUUACACAUGCAAGUCGAACGGCAGCACGGGAGCAAUCCUGGUGGCGAGUGGCGAACGGGUGAGUAAUACAUCGGAACGUGCCCAGUUGUGGGGGAUAGCCCGGCGAAAGCCGGAUUAAUACCGCAUACGACCUACGGGUGAAAGCGGGGGAUCGCAAGACCUCGCGCUAUUGGAGCGGCCGAUGUCGGAUUAGCUUGUUGGUAGGUAAAAGCCUACCAAGGCUACGAUCCGUAGCUGGUCUGAGAGGACGACCAGCCACACUGGGACUGAGACACGGCCCAGACUCCUACGGGAGGCANCAGUGGGGAAUUUUGGACAAUGGGCGAAAGCCUGAUCCAGCCAUGCCGCGUGCGGGAAGAAGGCCUU
RNAcentral lists this ribosomal RNA (389 nucleotides) under uncultured soil bacterium. RNAcentral's name for it is "bacterial SSU rRNA". It matches the Rfam family "Bacterial small subunit ribosomal RNA", at positions 26 to 418 of the family's 1533-position model. The record is from RNAcentral.